UGUUUGUUGUUCUGCAAUUGUGAGUCGGCUCGUGAGUCGUGACUCGUGAGGUUUGGAGAAUGAGAAGGCAUCAUCAACUUCUGCUUCAGCUCAAAUGCCUGCGCCUGCGCUUCGGGAGCUUCCCUACCAAUGUCGAGAGAACACCGGCAAUAUCAAUGGCUGUAGCUAAUUUUUCAUCUUCAACCGAAUCCCAAGCUGAGGCUCAGCUAUCGCCCAAUCUAAUUAGGAUCAUGGAACAGAGGUUUUCGGCCAUCGAAUACCGAACUGCUUUUCUUCAAAAGGUUGUGAACCAGCCAGAAGCUUCCCCAGCUGAGUUUGCUAGAGCUAAUAAGGAGCUUCGCAAGCUCAGACCUUGUAUGGACCUCAUUACUCACUUAAGGUCCAAGCAGAAGGAGAUUUCUAGUUUGAGGUCACUCAUUUCUGAAUCUUCUGAUGAUAAAGAAAUGCUUACUAUGGCAACUGAUGAACUGAACCAGGUCUUAGAAGAGGAGAAAACAGUUCACAAUUUCUUGUUGAAGUCACUCCUUCCUAAAGAUGAUGCUGAUGAGAGGGACUGCAUUUUGGAGGUCAGAGCAGGCACUGGUGGGGACGAGGCCUCUUUGUUUGCCAUGGACAUAUUCAAAAUGUACGAGAGAUUCUCGCAAAAGAAAGGCUGGAAGUUUGAAGUGGUAGAUGUUACAGAAUCAGAUCUUAAAGGUUAUAAGGAAGCUAGUGCGGCCAUCUCAGGGGCUGAUGUCUAUGGGAAACUUAAAUUUGAGAGUGGAAUUCACAGGGUGCAGCGAGUUCCUGUAACCGAGAAGUCUGGACGCGUUCACACAAGUGCUGUUUCUGUUGCUAUACUACCUCAGGCUGACGAGGUAGAUGUGCAGCUGAGGAGUGAAGAUUUGAAAAUUGAUACAUACAGGUCUGGUGGUGCAGGUGGACAGCACGCUAAUACCACUAACAGUGCUGUGAGGAUAACUCAUAUUCCAUCCGGUUUGACUGUGAACAUACAAGAUGAACGGUCCCAACACAUGAACAAGGCCAAGGCUCUGAAGGUUCUAUGUGCGAAGCUAUAUGAAAUAGAGAGGUCUAGAGUUCAUAGCAAUAGAUCAAAACUUCGGUCAGAACAGAUUGGUAGUGGGGACAGAUCUGAACGAAUUCGGACGUACAACUUUCCUCAAGGGCGUGUCACUGACCACCGUGUCAGCAUAACUUGUCAUGCGAUAGACGAUGUAAUGCAGGGUGAUAAUUUGGAUAUCUUUAUUGAUGCUCUACUAUUGCAGCAAGAAAUGGAUGCAAUUGCUCAUUUCAGCUCUUCCCAGUGAUUCUAUUAUACCAGUUUGCCCACUAAGGGUAAUUAAUACACAAGUACUAUGUUUAUCAAUCUUUAGCAUCAUAAUUUGUAUGAUAUACUCAUUGGAACAUUUUUUAAUCUUCUCUAAAGGUAAGUGGCCGCAUCAUUAUACAUGUUGUGAGAGAGAGAAGACAUACUCUAUGGUGUACGAACAGAUUGUCUCCGAAAAAACCAACUGAGAAUCUGCUGAAGAGAAUCAAACAAAGCCCACCUGAAAAGAUUCUUGUGUUGACUUGGCCUGCCAUGGAGGUUGGAUCCUAGAUCCGAAUGCUCAUGAAUAUUUGUCAAUAU
Molecule: RNA transcript, 1627 nt
Organism: Humulus lupulus (European hop)
Lineage: Eukaryota; Viridiplantae; Streptophyta; Magnoliopsida; Rosales; Cannabaceae
Gene name: peptide chain release factor 1, mitochondrial
Exons: 11
Source: RefSeq, a predicted model, not a curated record